GCCCGAGUGGCGGAACUGGCAGACGCACAGGACUUAAAAUCCUGCGAGCUUCAAAAGCUCGUACCGGUUCGAUUCCGGUCUCGGGCACCA
RNAcentral lists this transfer RNA (90 nucleotides) under Peptococcaceae bacterium. RNAcentral describes it as "tRNA-Leu". It matches the Rfam family "tRNA". Rfam says of the family: Transfer RNA (tRNA) molecules are approximately 80 nucleotides in length. RNAcentral also lists the same sequence under 1 other name. Lineage: Bacteria; Bacillati; Bacillota; Clostridia; Eubacteriales; Peptococcaceae. The record is from RNAcentral.